This 471-nucleotide ribosomal RNA is filed under the name uncultured bacterium. RNAcentral's name for it is "bacterial SSU rRNA". It matches the Rfam family "Bacterial small subunit ribosomal RNA", at positions 329 to 793 of the family's 1533-position model. The record is from RNAcentral.
GGAGAGCAUCCUACGGGAGGCAGCAGUGGGGAAUAUUGCACAAUGGGCGCAAGCCUGAUGCAGCCAUGCCGCGUGUAUGAAGAAGGCCUUCGGGUUGUAAAGUACUUUCAGCAGUGAGGAAGGUGGGUAUGUUAAUAGCAUACUCAUUUGACGUUAGCUGCAGAAGAAGCACCGGCUAACUCCGUGCCAGCAGCCGCGGUAAUACGGAGGGUGCGAGCGUUAAUCGGAAUUACUGGGCGUAAAGCGCAUGCAGGUGGUUUGUUAAGUCAGAUGUGAAAGCCCGGGGCUCAACCUCGGAAUUGCAUUUGAAACUGGCAAACUAGAGUACUGUAGAGGGGGUAGAAUUUCAGGUGUAGCGGUGAAAUGCGUAGAGAUCUGAAGGAAUACCGGUGGCGAAGGCGGCCCCCUGGACAGAUACUGACACUCAGAUGCGAAAGCGUGGGGAGCAAACAGGAUUAGAUACCCUGGUAG